This 246-nucleotide long non-coding RNA is filed under the name Vombatus ursinus (common wombat). RNAcentral describes it as "lncRNA (ENSVURG00010017373.1)". The record is from RNAcentral. Lineage: Eukaryota; Metazoa; Chordata; Mammalia; Diprotodontia; Vombatidae.
GGGUAACUUGCCAAGUUGAUAAGUGCCUGAGAAAGAAUUCAAACUCAGGUCUUACUCAUUCCAAGUCUAGCACCCAUUGGCCACCUAGCUGCCUCUUGAUGACAAGCCCCACUUAGGUUUGUGAUUUUCUGGAGCUGUGUCACUUGAUCACCUGCCACCUUUUCGGGAGAUAUUUUCUGGAUGAAUGGAUGAUUAAUCUGUAUUUCUUCUGUACUUCCUCUUUGGAAAUCACUCCAGUGUUGCCCA